GGAUUGGACACGGAUUUAAUGUCGAGCCUUAGGAAAAAUAUUUUAUAUAUAUAUUUUUUUUAACAUUUGAAAUAUUUAAAAAAUUUGGGCUUUCGGCUUUGGGCUCUCCACAUUGGCCCUCGAUGCGCUCGUUCUCUCAAGUAUCUCAAAAUAAAGCCGGCAGCAAAACGGCCGCAUUUUGGCAGUUAGUAUAUUCUCUUAUCUCACCUUUCCGUUUUCGACGCUCUGGCUAGUUCCGUCAAAAGAAGACUGUUUUCUGAUCAACCUAUGGGAACCGUAGAUGAAGUUGUGGAGAUUGAUAGUUUAGAAAAGGGUUUACUGACGGAAUCGCGUGGUGGUGUCGCUAGCGACGAAAGUCAAUGUAACGAUGAGACGGUGCUUUAUGCGGCGUCGUUUGAAGAGAUGGAAGAGAAAUUUGUUAAGUAUCAAACUGCUCAAUGGGUUAUGUACUCGUUGAUGCUAAUGUUGGCUUGGGGAAUUGGAAUAUUCAUGCUUCUGUAUUUGCCCGUUCGGAGAUAUAUCUUGCGGAAAGAUAUACGGUCCAGAAAGCUCUAUCUCACUCCUCAUGCCAUUGUAUAUGAAGUUACAAAACCAGUAUCAUUUCCAUGUUUUGGGGUGUUAAAGAGAGAGAAGCAUGUUUUAUUAUCUUCAGUUGCAGACGUCAUAAUUGAGCAAGGAUAUUUGCAGUCUCUUUUUGGUGUCUACUCUUUGAGAAUUGAGAAUGCUGGUGUGAGAAGGUCGCCAAGUGAUGAUGUUCAAAUUCAAGGAAUUGGAAAUCCAAAUGCUUUCAAGAAGGCUGUCUUGACACGGCUAUCCAACAUGAGAAGUGAGCUUGGGUCUAAACACACAAUUGAAGACAUUUUGAGGAUAGGUCACUCAUCAUCAUCUUUGGUAUGGCAGAUGUCUCCAUUAAAAUCUCUCAAGCAUAAUUUGCCUCCUCAUUCAGGGAGCCUGAUGCUACUACAGAAACUAGAGGACGUUGAAAAUUCUGUGAAGAGAGUUCAAAUUUUAAUCGAGGAGCAACACUCUUAAUCAUUAGGACCAAUUGAUUAAGAGUACAAUCUGGAAACAUAAUUAGCACAAGCCAUUUUGCUGAAGAGAUGAUUUUCUCAAUGGUACAUCCUUUGAUGAGUCAAGUUCGGGGACUGGUUGUGGUUGUGGAUAACAACGGUUUCUUUGGUGUUUUGCGAUUUUGUUGGUUUUUCUUUACAUGCACAAGCUAGCAGUUGGUCUUCUUCCCGGGUGUUGCAGGUUUGUUGGUGGUCCCGUGAUCGGUGGUGUCCGAUGAUGGUGAUUCUUUUUUCACAGUCGUCGGUGGCCGUUUCAUUUGGCGGUGGACGUGCUGUUGGGCUAUAGGCUAUGGAUUGGCUAUUAUCCCUUGGUUGUAUGUUAUCUGACCUGACGUUUAUAUUUCUAUUAAUAAUAUUUUUUUUUCAUUAGUAUUCAAUUGUUAA
Molecule: RNA transcript, 1454 nt
Organism: Manihot esculenta (cassava)
Lineage: Eukaryota; Viridiplantae; Streptophyta; Magnoliopsida; Malpighiales; Euphorbiaceae
Exons: 9
Source: RefSeq, a predicted model, not a curated record